UACGGAGGGAGCUAGCGUUGUUCGGAAUUACUGGGCGUAAAGCGCACGUAGGCGGCUUUUUAAGUCAGGGGUGAAAUCCCGGAGCUCAACUCCGGAACUGCCCUUGAAACUGGGAAGCUUGAAUCUUGGAGAGGCGAGUGGAAUUCCGAGUGUAGAGGUGAAAUUCGUAGAUAUUCGGAAGAACACCAGUGGCGAAGGCGACUCGCUGGACAAGUAUUGACGCUGAGGUGCGAAAGCGUGGGGAGCAAACAGG
RNAcentral lists this ribosomal RNA (253 nucleotides) under uncultured bacterium. RNAcentral's name for it is "partial 16S ribosomal RNA". It matches the Rfam family "Bacterial small subunit ribosomal RNA", at positions 524 to 776 of the family's 1533-position model. The record is from RNAcentral.